Molecule: ribosomal RNA, 213 nt
Filed under: uncultured Cronobacter sp.
Lineage: Bacteria; Pseudomonadati; Pseudomonadota; Gammaproteobacteria; Enterobacterales; Enterobacteriaceae
Description: partial 16S ribosomal RNA
Rfam family: Bacterial small subunit ribosomal RNA
Source: RNAcentral
CGCCCGCGCGCGCGGCGGGCUACGGGAGGCAGCAGUGGGGAAUAUUGCACAAUGGGCGCAAGCCUGAUGCAGCCAUGCCGCGUGUAUGAAGAAGGCCUUCGGGUUGUAAAGUACUUUCAGCGGGGAGGAAGGCGUUGUGGUUAAUAACCGCAGCGAUUGACGUUACCCGCAGAAGAAGCACCGGCUAACUCCGUGCCAGCAGCCGCGGUAAUA